AUUGAACGCUGGCGGCAGGCUUAACACAUGCAAGUCGAGCGGAGAUGAGGUGCUUGCACCUUAUCUUAGCGGCGGACGGGUGAGUAAUGCUUAGGAAUCUUCCUCGUAGUGGGGAAUAACCUGGGGAAACUCAGGCUAAUACCGCAUACGAACUACGGUUGAAAGCAGGGGAUCGCAAGACCUUGCGCUAUGAGAUGAGCCGAAGUCGGAUUAGCUAGUUGGUGAGGUAACGGCUCACCAAGGCGACGAUCCGUAGCUGGUCUGAGAGGACGACCAGCCACUGGGACUGAGACACGGCCCAGACUCCUACGGGAGGCAGCAGUGGGGAAUAUUGGACAAUGGGGGCAACCCUGAUCCAGCGACGCCGCGUGUGUGAAGAAGGCCUGCGGGUUGUAAAGCACUUUUAGUGGGGAUGAAAAGCCAAGGGCUAAUACCCUUUGGUCUUGACCUAACCCAAAGAAAAAGCACCGGCUAACCCUGUGCCAGCCGCCGCGGUAA
RNAcentral lists this ribosomal RNA (498 nucleotides) under uncultured bacterium. Its description in RNAcentral is "partial 16S ribosomal RNA". It matches the Rfam family "Bacterial small subunit ribosomal RNA", at positions 30 to 523 of the family's 1533-position model. The record is from RNAcentral.